CAGGUUACAACUAGUAUAUUAUAUAGCUACUUUUGAAUUCAACAAACAAAAUGUCACCAUAUUAAUUUCUAAAUGAAUUUUUACAUGUUGAUAUCACUAAGAACCUAUCUUACAAAACAUCUAAAGAUAUCUCAAUUCUUAAAUGUACCCAACAGAGACACCAACUUCUUUGCCAUUUCCCACAAAUAUCAAUAUGGUUGCAUUCAUUUGUGAGAGACACCAACUUCUUUACCAAUUCCCACAAAUAUCAAUAUGGUUGCAUUCAUUUGUGCUUCAAGUGUGAACCUCCUAUGACAUAAACAUAUAGGCUGCUAAAAUCGAAAAGAUGGAGGUGUUAGUCCUGAAAGUCAUGAGAUACGACAAUUAUUUCACUAAUACUUUAGCAUACUCUAAAUCAAAGUCCAAAAUAUAAAUCACUAUUUGAAGUUUCACCUAAAUAUUUCCAAUAACAUACUGCACAAAAUUCAUAAAUUGUUACCUUAAACAUAAGAAAUGAUGCGAGUACUUUUUCCAUGAUACCAAAGAAUUCUCUAAUGAAUAUCAAUUAAUUUCCCCUGCACAAUAUCAAAAGUUUAAAAAUCAAAGUCAAACAUGCAAAUAUUCCAACUAAUUAGUUAUUAAAAAACAUAUUAACAACCUACAUAUCGGCUAAAAAAUUUAUUCAUGGAUGUUUUGCAUUACCAAAAGCUUAUAUUACACAUCUACUUUGAAUUAUUUUGACUGUCAUUUCAGUGUACCAGUUUCUAUCAUAUGAUCCCUUGCUAAUUUUGUUGGCACACUCUUUCCAACUCCGGUUUCCAAUUUACAAACAUAAAUUCCAUUUUACAAAAAAAAGUAAUAAUAAAAUAAUAUAGAAAUGACUUUGUACAAACCUGAUAAGGAUAUAUAUUAACAUUUACACCAUAUGCAAAAUAUAAUAAACUUACUUAGACACCCUUAUUUUACUUAUCUUAAUUCUUCAACAUCACAAUAUCACUUUCAAAGAACUUCUCAUCAUGACAUUAUAAGUAGCAUGAGCAAUGCCACACACAUGGGGCCUAUUUAGAAUCUUUUCUUUGCAAACCUUGAUAAUAUCACUUCUAGAAAGUAAGUCAUCUGUGAAGGGAUUAAUUGCUAAUAAAACAGAACCAGUCAUCGUUUGUUCACAUAACAAUGAAUGCUAUGUUAAAAGAAAAUGAAACUACAAUGCAAUAAUAAAUAAGUAACUAAAAGAAAUGGCAAUGAAACAUUUCCUGAUCAGUUGUAUUCCCAAUAUUCCUUUCUUGCAAACUCUUGAGCAAUCCCUCUCUCAACAAAUUUGAAUAGCUUCAAUAUCAUUAGAAUAAAGGGUGCUAACAAAAAGGAAAAAAGAAUGCAAUCUAAGAAUACAGAGAAACCAAAAAAACUAAGCAAUGAAACUUAGACAAAACCAACAAGCAACAACAGGACUGGGACUCCAAGAAAACCCCAAAAAAUAACAAAGCAAACAACAUGAAAAAAACUAAGUCUUAAACCUUGACAACAUCAUACCCAGACAGCAUGAAAAAUACGAACUAAAAAAAACAGCGCCCAGAAAUCAACAACAACACCAUCAAUACAACAUAAGCAAAUAAGGCUUAGAAAGGUAAAACAAAAAAACAAAAAAAGGAACUGGCCACAUUGAUCAAUAAGCAGGGCAAUCAGGGGCAAAAUAGUCAAAACCCCAAUGCAGCAACACACCAACAGAACAGAGAAAAUUCAACACAAUCCAUACACCAAACCAAGGGGUAAAAACGUCAAUAACCCCAAAAGAAACAUCAUCCAACAAGAUGCAAACAUGGACUGUUAAAAGAACAUUUAAGCCAUACGACCAAAUUAGAACUUCAACAAAGGUAGCAAGACAAUUGACAAGGCCAAGGAGCAAAAGCUCCAAACAGUCACGAAAUUCUAAGACUUCAUAAUUUGAAACCACAGCCAUCCCCGAUAGCACCUAAACGCAUGAAGAAUCAAAGGGGUAAUCAUAGGGGUACAAUUGUCAAAAGCCCCAAAACAAUGGUAGGUGCUGAACAACAAAUCAGAUCCACAAUCAUCGUUGAUUCCUUUAGAGAUGAAGAGAUAGAAAACAGCAAAAAAAAUCAAGAAAAUAAUGAAUCCCAAAUCUGAACAUGCAUAUAACAAAGCAAAAGGGAUCGAUUAUUCACGUCAUCUAAAUUGUUUCCAGGUUUUGAUAUACAUAAUGAAUGAUCUUCAUUUUUCAGUCGGAAUUGUACCUCUGGCUCUAAUGAAAAUAGCGUCGAUAAACUUUCGAUUCACAUUGUUUCAAGUAUUAGGGUCUUCGAUUGGUGAUUGGUAAUCUUCACUAGUAGUGAUCGCAUAGAGUAGGUUUGAAAUCGUAUACUGGGAUAAAUGGCGGGAUAUUAAAAUUUGAUAGGAAGGACACC
RNAcentral lists this long non-coding RNA (2399 nucleotides) under Lactuca sativa (garden lettuce). Its description in RNAcentral is "long non-coding RNA (LSAT_LNC003948)". The record is from RNAcentral. Lineage: Eukaryota; Viridiplantae; Streptophyta; Magnoliopsida; Asterales; Asteraceae.